Pangasianodon gigas (Mekong giant catfish) is the source of this 75-nucleotide non-coding RNA. Lineage: Eukaryota; Metazoa; Chordata; Actinopteri; Siluriformes; Pangasiidae. The record is from the annotation of a GenBank genome assembly.
GAUUUUGGUCCCUAUUUUUAAAAAAAUUGAACCUGAGGGGUUGUUACAAUUAUAGGAGAUUUAAACUCCUCAGCC